AUCAUCCUUUUUUUCCUCUUGUGUGUGAAUGUAUUUAAAUGCACGUGUCUUUGGGGGUGAGGGGAGAAAAGAAGGGUGGUAGCUGGUGUCUAAAUCUUGUAAAAUGGUUUUCCUAAUAUGGGCUGUCUCUCCUGAGACUCCUCCUCUUCCCUAUAAGUGGGCAGGACUCUAUCCUCUUAUUCAGCCAGUGAUGACACAGCUACGACUCACUUCCCCAUUAAUUGGCUGAAACCAGUUCUUACAGGAACUGUCGGUGAUAAAUGUGAGAGUUCUCAGAAAUCAUUCAUUUCUUCCUUCUUCACAGCUAAGGGACACUCCAGGGCAGUGUGGAUGUUUCUUUGUGUUAUCAUUUCUUAAGGACCUCAAUUUUUAGAUCAUUUAUAUGUAUUUUUGUGAUUCUCUCUUGUUAUUAUUUUUCUUCAUUGUUUUGUUGUUUUGUUUGUUUGUUUUGUUUUUUUAAAUCUGGUAACAGUGUUCUAUCUGGGGUAAAGGUUUUAUAUUGCUUAGCCCUCCUUCUGGGAGAAGUAGAGAUAGAAGAAGGUAACCUUUAGCGUGGGUGAGUAAAAUUGGUGACCUACUUCCCCCCUUUCUUGUCUUCUUAAGCUCUGUUACGCAGUUUGUUGCCUCUCUCCAGAAGACGAACCUUGAGGUGUUGGAGCAACACCGGUAGUGAGUAUCACAACUUUUUUUCUCUAUCUGUUCUACCUUUCUUCUUCUAUCACUGUUUGCUAAUGCAUUGUACAUGCAUAAUUAAUUAGCUAAUUGUAGUGUUGCGUUGGGUUGGUGCUGUCAUUCAUGGUGGAAGAGUGUGGUGUGGCAGAGUUCAUUGUGUGUCUAGGGUUAAAAUGGAGUGGUGACUGUGGCCUGUUCAGGGUCUGGCUCCUGAGGGAUGCUGAGUCAUGCUCAGCAGGUGGAGCUGCUAUGACUGAAGUGUACACUCCCCCACGUCACUCACAACCCCCACCCUCCAUCCCCCUUCCCCUUAGCAAGCGAACCCUGUUGAACUCGAUGCAGGCUGAUCGAGACAGGAGGGGCCCCCAGGGGCUGAGAGGGUGGGGGAAUUCUACUCCCAAUUCCUGCCACUAACAAUCUCUCACAACUCUGUAGAAGCUGUGGAAACAAAGGCAUUACACCUUUUACCUCACUGCUCAUCUAGGAUGAAAAUUCGCUCUCCUGGGUGUUUCAGAAGGUGGUGACCAUCUUGUGUGUGUGUGUGUGUGUGAAUGAGUGGCAGAGAAAUAUUCAGGGGGUAAAAUUAAAAACUUUGUGUGGGUGUAGUUGUGUGUCAAAAGAGUGAGAACGAAAUUUUCACCAGGCUGUUUCACUCACAUACUACCUGAGCCUGUCUGUAUUUCUCAAAUUUAAAAAAAAAAAAAGAAUUUUUGAGUCUCUUUGUUCUCCUUUGUACCUGUGAAAAGUAAUUGGCUUCUUACAGAGUUUAAUAUAGUAAAUGGGGCUGGAGAGAUGUAAGGUUGCAGCAUUGUGUUUUGGCAGAACAGCUUUAUUUAAAAGUGCAGGAACUUAUUGACCAUUGAGGCCUUCAGAUUAUGACAUCUAGAUAUAUUUUAUUCAAAAUAAAUCAUACAUAUAUCUCAAUAAAUAAGUCAUCAUUUACAUUUGGGUUAUGAAAUAGUGUUGGUGCUGAACACUGAAACUGUAAUAAAUAUCAGUGAAUCAUACUGUAGUUUCCAGUAGUUACUGUUUAAUUUCCAUAAACUGAGAAACAAUUUAUUAGUCAGACCAGGGCUUCACAAUCCUGGUAAUAUGUGCAAUCAUAUGAACAUGAAUUUUUCAGAGAUUGUGGAUGAGUGGAAGGAGGUUCACUAUUCUUGAGGAGUUUUUGUGUAUGUUUUAUCUGACUGAGAUCACAACUGUGCUUAUAUUGGCAGCAGAAUACUGACUGUUGUUGGGCUGUCACUCUUUAUAUUAAUGAGACUGGCUGAUAGUAUGUCUGACAUUGUGACUACUGUUUUGUGAUAUUGAGGGUUUCAAAUUUAAGUGUAUGUUGUAUAUCUUACGGAGAUCUUCUCUAAAAUACUCCUUGAUCAGAACCGUGCUUAUAUUGGAAGCAGAAUACUGAUUAUUGAUGGGCUCUCACUGCUUAUGUUAAUGAGACUGGCUAAUAAUUUAUCUGAUAUUCUGACUACUUUUUUAUGUUUUUCUUUAGGUAAUGCAAUUCAUUCAGAAUUUUCUAAACAAUGUUAAAGAUUUUUGUGUUCUUUUAUGCCUGGUCUUGGCACUCAUAAUAAGGUAUUAUGGGUGCCAAGACCCAAUAUUAAUUAAUGCAAUAUGAUGAUGUAAUUUAUUUUUUGUUCCUUGAUUAUACAAAAGAUUCUUUGCCUCUUUUUUCAUUUUGUAAUUUUUUUAGAACUGCUUGUGAAAUGUUUUCUCCCUCAUCUGUGCUUUUUUGUAACACUGCCCUGGUAUGCUAGCCUGGAAGCUUCAGGCAUAUAAAAAAAAAAUGGAACAGUGUGGGGUUUCUUUGCUGUUACCUUAGCUGAACCCUGGGCUGAACUCAGUGCACUGUACUGCUGGCAGGAAGGAUAUGAAGAAGAGAGAGAAAGGGGGAUACAAGCAAGAGGCUAAGCAUGUUCAGCUAGCAGACAUGCUCGUCAGUGAAUGGGAAGCACAUUUUGAACUGCUAUAACAGGACAUAUUUGGUUACAAAAUAACAGAAUAUGGCCUCCAACAACCACCUCCUACCAUUCCUCUUUGUCUAUGGUAAGCGUUCUUUUCUUUCCUUUCCAUUUUAUUCUUCAUGUGUGGAUCAGGCAUUUCCAUCCAUCUCUCCCAGUGUGUCAGAUAGCUUAUCAGACUGGUGUUGGCUGUUUUAAUGCAUGGCGACAACAGUCUGUAGGCUGUCUGACAUUUUGGGCUUUUUCAUCCAAAAAUACACCUCAUUUGUUAUCUUCAAGUUUGUUUUAUUGUUAUUUCUUGUCUUGCUUUUAAAUAGUUUGCCAUGGUUCAGUGAUUUGAGCUAAACUUUUCCCUUUAAACUAUCGGAUGAGGUAGUACAGUUUUAUAAAUGUGUUUGUAAAUAACCAGUACAUGUAAUUCUCUACAUUUCUGUUCAUACAUUUAUGUACUAUACUUUUCCCUUUUGAAGUGAGAGAGAGAGAGAGAGAGAGAGAGAGAGAGAGAGUGAGAGAGUGUGUGUGUGUGUGUGUGUGUGUGUGCUUGUGUGUGUCUGGAGCUUUCCUUCAACUACCUAUGUUUUUUACAAAUCCAAAACACACUUUAUUGCAACAUACAAUGUUAUGACAGUUUUGCUGUUUGGACUGCUUAUCCCUCCCCUCUCUGUUUAUUGCUUUUAUGGAUCAGUGUUAAUUUGUCUCUGGGUCUGCAAUAAUUUCUUCAUUCUUUUUUUGCUUAAAGUGACUACACUGGCAUAGAUGUCCCUCUGAGGGAAUGCUUAUAGUAUGUCCCUCUGAGGGAACCCUUUACACCCUUUUAGGAGUCUAAGAUCCCUUAAAGAAUGCCUGAAGAACCUAAGAGUGCACCUUUUUUCCUUUUUAAUCUCAGAUUUGUGAUGAAGAGAACUUUUUUGAAUUGCUUCCUAGUUCUGAACAUUCUAUUUUUUAUUUCUUGGUAAAUUUUGUUUUUUGUAUGCCUAUUUGUAUGAUUAUAUAAGUGUAUAUUAACAAAAAUAAACAAGGUUGCAUUAA
This is a long non-coding RNA of Ictalurus furcatus (blue catfish), 3665 nucleotides long. RefSeq lists it as uncharacterized. The transcript is spliced from 2 exons. Lineage: Eukaryota; Metazoa; Chordata; Actinopteri; Siluriformes; Ictaluridae. The record is from RefSeq and is a predicted model, not a curated record.